ACUGUGAGGUAGAGCGACUGAUAAGAUGCGAGGGCUUCACCGCCUAUCAAGUCUUGAUAAACUCCGAAUGCGCAGUAGUUCGAUCCCAGGAGUGAGGGCAUGGGUGCUAAGGUCCAUGUCCUAAAGGAGAAGAAUCCGGACCAUCAGCUAAGGUCCCGAAAUAAUUGCUAAGUUGAACUAACGAAGUCAGAUUGCUAAGACAGCUAGGAUGUUGGCUUGGAAGCAGCCAUUCAUUUAAAGAGUGCGUAACAGCUCACUAGUCGAGGAGUUUGGCGUGGAUAAUAAUCGGGCAUCAAGCAAUUUACCGAAGCUAUGGGAUCAGUAAUGAUCGGUAGGGGAGCAUUCCACUCUGCGUCGAAGGUGAAGCGUGAGCUUUGCUGGAGCGUGUGGAAAAGCAAAUGUAGGUAUAAGUAACGAUAAAGGGGGUGAGAAACCCCCUCGCCGAAAGACUAAGGUUUCCUGAUCAACGCUAAUCGGAUCAGGGUUAGUCGGGUCCUAAGGCUCAGCCGAACGGUGAGGCCGAUGGCAGAACAGGUUAAUAUUCCUGUACUACCUUAAGGAGUGACGUGGAGACGGAGCAGUGAUAGCGCCGCGGACUGACGGAAUAGUCCGUUGAAGGGUGUAGAUGUUGAUCUUUGCAGGCAAAUCCACAAAGAGAGUCGAACCUGAUAGUAUGGAACGUUCUUCGGAACAAUCCAAUAGUGCGUGUAAACAUACUCCCAAGAAAAUCCGCUAAACUUAAUCUUUAAGGUACCCGUACCGCAAACGGACACACGUAGUCGGGUUGAAUAUACUAAGGCGCUUGAGUGAUUCACGGUUAAGGAACUAGGCAAAUUGACCCUGUAACUUCGGGAUAAAGGGUCCCAACGAGAGUUGGGCGCAGAGAAUAGGUCCAGGCAACUGUUUAACAAAAACACAGGGCUGUGCCAAAUUGAAAGAUUACGUAUACAGCCUGACACCUGCCCGGUGCUGGAAGGUUAAGAGGAGAUGUCAUCGCAAGAGAAGCAUUGAAUUGAAGCCCCAGUAAACGGCGGCCGUAACUAUAACGGUCCUAAGGUAGCGAAAUUCCUUGUCGGGUAAGUUC
This 1084-nucleotide ribosomal RNA is filed under the name Parabacteroides merdae. Its description in RNAcentral is "partial 23S ribosomal RNA". It matches the Rfam family "Bacterial large subunit ribosomal RNA", at positions 894 to 1983 of the family's 2925-position model. Lineage: Bacteria; Pseudomonadati; Bacteroidota; Bacteroidia; Bacteroidales; Tannerellaceae. The record is from RNAcentral.